CUGGGUGAUUAAUAAACUAAUUGACACGGGGGACACUUGUCACUGGCGAAGCAGCUCCCUAGCCAAAGCGAGGAGCAACUACAUAGCGUCUCCCGGGGAGCUGGGAAGUGACAGUCUACACCCGCUUCCGGGCUCCCCGUGACAUAGGCCAGCCGGGCCUCCAUUUACACCUCAAAGCAAAGUCACAGAGGGAUCCGCCCCUUUCCUGGCUGCCUACACAGAAAGCAGCCAUGGGAGACUUGCCGAGGACUUUGUCCACCAAGUGAUGAAAGCAUGCAAAUGCCUCCGAAUCAAAGGCCUGAGCCACGUAUGAAGUGUGAAUCUUCACACCAUGCAAGAGAAGCCACAUGUUAUUGCUCUGGUCAACAAUCCCAGCUGACCCAACCAGAUAGUGUAUCAGGCAUAUGAGUAAAGCAUUCUUAGAUUCUUCAGUCCAGCCCUUCACCAGCAGAACACCAUUCAGCAACCCUUGUCGGCAUCAUGUGGGACAGAAGAACCACCCAGCUGAGCCUUAUCCAAAUUCCUGACCACAAAAUCAUAAGCCCUGAGAGAGCAAGACCAGCCCCUUCUUUUCUUCCACCUCCUCAUCUACUCAACAUGUAUCUUCAUUCUCAAGACGAUGAGGAUGAAGACCUUUAUGAUGCUCCACUCCCAGUUAAUAAAUAGUAAGCAUAUUUUCUCUUUCUUCUGAUUUUCUUUUCUCUAGUUUAUUUUAUUGUAAGAAUGCAGUAUAUAAUAUAUGUAACAUACAAAAUAUGUGUUAAUCAAUUAUUUAUGCUAUCAGUAAGGCUUCUGGUCAAUAGGGGGUUUUUAGUAAAGUUUUUGAGCAGUCAUAAUUACACAUGGAUUUUCAGCUAUAGAGAGGGUCAGUACCCCUAAUCCCCACGUUGUUCAAGAGUUAACUGUACAUAGUUUUACUCCUGUUAGGAAUAAUGCUCAAAA
This 942-nucleotide long non-coding RNA is filed under the name Homo sapiens (human). Its description in RNAcentral is "HSALNT0215435". The record is from RNAcentral. Lineage: Eukaryota; Metazoa; Chordata; Mammalia; Primates; Hominidae.